CUAUCCUUGUUAGUUUAAAGUCCUUGGGGCAAUACGGUUGGCAACAUUGAAUUAACAAGAAAGAUCGUGGAAAACACGUGUUACUUUCGUAGUAUGUGCUGUUUCGAAUAGUUAUCAUGGCCAAAUUUCAUAAGAAACAAAGCAAGCGUAUGACUUGUAGAAGGAAGUAUAAAAUACAAA
Long non-coding RNA from Centruroides sculpturatus (bark scorpion), 180 nucleotides. RefSeq lists it as uncharacterized. The record is from RefSeq and is a predicted model, not a curated record. The transcript has 3 exons. NCBI's taxonomy places the organism in Eukaryota, Metazoa, Arthropoda, Arachnida, Scorpiones, Buthidae.